RNAcentral lists this ribosomal RNA (2000 nucleotides) under Gemmatimonadota bacterium. RNAcentral describes it as "Gemmatimonadetes bacterium partial 23S ribosomal RNA". It matches the Rfam family "Bacterial large subunit ribosomal RNA", at positions 1 to 1966 of the family's 2925-position model. Lineage: Bacteria; Pseudomonadati; Gemmatimonadota. The record is from RNAcentral.
GGUCAAGCGAACAAGUGCACAUGGUGGAUGCCUUGGCACAGACCGGCGACGAAGGACGUGGCAAGCUGCGAAAAGCCUCGGGGAGCUGCAAGCAAGCUUGGAUCCGGGGGUAUCCGAAUGGGGGAACCCGGCGGGAGCGAUCCCGUCACCCCGAAGGGGGAGCCAACCCAGGGAACUGAAACAUCUAAGUACCUGGAGGAACAGAAAUCAAUCGAGAUUCCCAGAGUAGCGGCGAGCGAAAAGGGAAGAGCCCAAACCCGGGCGAGGUGACUCGACUGGGGGUUGCGGGGCUGCAUCGCGCAGGCGGACCGAAGCAUAGCGGAACGGUGCUGGAACGUACGACCACAGAGGGUGAGAGUCCCGUACGCGAAAUGCGAGUAGGCGAGCCGAUGUGGACCCCGAGUAGGCCGGGACACGUGAAAUCCUGGCUGAAGCUGGGAGGACCAUCUUCCAAGGCUAAAUACGAGUCUGUGACCGAUAGUGAAGAGUACCGUGAGGGAAAGGUGAAAAGAACGCCUGACGGCGAGUGAAAUAGACCCUGAAACCGUGUGCAUACAAGCGGUCGGAGCCCGACUCGCGUCUCCGGAUGCGAGGGUGGGUGACGGCGUGCCUUUUGCAUUAUGAUCCGGCGAGUUACUCCUCGUGCGCGAGGUUAAGGGCCUCUGGUCCGGAGCCGAAGCGAAAGCGAGUCUGAAUAGGGCGGCGAGUGCACGGGGGUAGACCCGAAACCGAGGCGAUCUAUCCAUGGCCAGGGUGAAGCUGGGGUAACACCCGGUGGAGGCCCGAACCGUUGUGGGUUGAAAACUGCUCGGAUGAGCUGUGGAUAGGGGUGAAAGGCCAAUCAAGCUCGGAGAUAGCUGGUUCUCCCCGAAAUAUAUUUAGGUAUAGCCUCAGGUAAUUGUCUGGAGGAGGUAGAGCACUGGAUGGGCUAGGGGCCUUACCAGGUUACCGAACUCAACCAAACUCCGAAUGCCUCGCAGAUGUAUCCUGGGAGUCAGUGAGCGGGCGAUAAUGUCCGGUCGCGAGAGGGAAAGAGCCCAGACCGUCAGCUAAGGCCCCCAAGUUCAUGCUAAGUGACAAAGGAUGUGGAUGUGCAGAGACAGCUAGGAGGUUGGCUUAGAAGCAGCCAUUCCUUUAAAGAGUGCGUAAUAGCUCACUAGUCAAGUGGAUCCGCGCCGAUAAUGGUCGGGACUCAAGCAUGGCGCCGAAGCUACGGAUGACGCAAGUCAUGGUAGGGGAGCAUUCUCUGGUCGGAGAAGCGGACCCGGGAGGGCAUCCGUGGAGAGCAGGGAAGAGAGCAUGCCGGAAUGAGUACGCGAUAAACAGGGUGAGAAUCCCUGUCACCGAAAGCCUAAGGGUUCCGGAGCCAGGCUUAUCCGCUCCGGGUUAGUCGGCCCCUAAGCCGAGGCCGAAGGGCGUAGGCGAUGGGAAACAGGUUAAUAUUCCUGUACCGACCAAGCAGCGUUUGACCGCGAGGGGGGACGCGGAAGUGACAGGACCGUCGGGUGGUGGAAUAUCCGAUGCAAGGUGGUAGGCGUUGAGAGGGGAGAAAAGACCUCUUUAGCCGAGCGCCGAUGCCGAAGGGGAUAUAUCCCUGCAAAGGGUCCGUAAUCAUGCCGCCAAGAAAAGCCUCGCGCGGGAGGUGCUUGGACGACCGUACCGCAAACGGACACACGUAGGCGAGGCGAGUAGCCUAAGGUGCUCGAGUGAUCCGCGGAGAAGGAACUCGGCAAAUUGUCCCCGUAACUUAGGGAGAAGGGGAGCCUGUGGUAGGUGAACCAAAUGCUAGGGGAGCCGAAGCAGGCCGCAGAGAAUCGGCCCGAGCGACUGUUUAUUAAAAACACAGGUGUCUGCAAAGUCGCGCAAGACGACGUAUAGGCACUGACGCCUGCCCGGUGCCGGAAGGUAAAAGGAAGGGGUUAGGGUGCAAACUCGAAGCUCUGAACUGAAGCCCCGGUAAACGGCGGCCGUAACUAUAACGGUCCUAAGGUAGCGAAAUU